AUUACACAAUACAUUACCAGUCCCAGACACGACCCAGCGCGACUCUCCUGGCGAGACGGGCGCAACUCGAAACCGGUCCGCGGAGUCCUGGUACGAGAGGCAGGGCGUGAAUCGAUUAGACGCCGGUCCUAAAGAAUAUUAUCGAUCGCACGAAUACGUAUACGCGAGCGCGCGUAUAAUACGAUUAUAAUACGUAAAUUAUACGUACGUACGCGCGCGGUGACGGGUCGAAGAGGAGAAGCGGAGGGAGGAGAGAGAACGAGGGAGAGCGAGGACAAAACAGGUCCUCCACGUAAUGGAAAAUAAGAUUUAUGCCGUCGUCGGAGUCGUUUAUACCGGAGAGAACUGCGCAGUUCAUUUCUAUCUGGUAUUAUACGGGCCCUGUUAAAUAAUUACCGGGUUCCUUUUUUUUUCUUUCUUUCUUUCUCUUCUCUUCAUUUAUUUUCCUUCUCCUGCCGCUUGCACCGCACUGCACCGCGACCGCCGAGGAGACGUGCACUACAAAUCGGACAGAGUGCUCGUCGCGGUGUCGCGCCUAGCCACAACGGUCCACCCUCCCGUCGGCCAAGUACCGGCGGGCAACGAUUGAAUAAUGGGCGACAAGUCGCGUAAACUCGUCGCUCUCGACCGGCCGCGGGGUAACACACGGUAGCGGUCCGCAUCCGUCGUUGCGCCUACCACCGUUGUACGUGUGUGCACGUGUGCACCGGCGUUUUUCGUCACGCAAAAAUAGUACGAUAUGAAAAUUUAAAUAUGAAUAUAGAAUAAUUAAAAGAUUUCAUACAUUCAAUAUAUUUUAUGUGUUGGUUUAAAAUUUCAACUCGUUUUAUCUAAUAUAUAUUCCAUCGUGGUCAAUUUGUUAACAAAAGCCAGUACUGAUAUGGUACCAGAUUGGCUUCUCUUUCUCGAUCACAUUUCCGCUGUAUUGCUUCAGUACCAUUCUUAAACCUUCGCAUUUUGCGCUUAACUUGUUGUUCUAUUAAAACAUCGAUAUAAAAAAUAUAAAAUAUUUACUACCAAUGUUUCGAUAGACAGUUUUUUUUUUUAUACGUAUAACUUGGAAAACAGAUGGAUGUGCCGUAUAAAAUUCAUACCGAAAUUAGUCGAUCCAGCACCGUUGGUCGUUCUUUUUGUACCGUUAGGUUCUUCAAGCCACCAUCGAAGGAGGAUGUUGUUCAGUGUCGGUAUGAUUUUCAAUUACAUGAUUAGAAAAUGCCGUGGAUUUUUGAUGUUUUGGAUCUCCAGAUAAAAUUUCAUAAAAAUCGUCGGAAACCGAAUUUACCGGUAAACAAGGUAAUCCAUAUUGUCGAUAAGCGAUGACAGUCGUUCAAAAUAUACGUGUGCGGUAAUGGGAAUUUGAAAUAUGUGUACGGUUUUGUCCCGUGAGUUUUUCGCGCGUUUGUGCGGUAACGGGUGACGCUCAUGUAUACGCUGUCGCGCGCGCGUUCGAUAGAAGGACGAUAGGACGCCACCAGGACAACAGGACCACAGGUUAACCGAAAUAAUCGCCGCUUUUACUAAUACUAGAUGUUAUCGUGAUUUUUCCGGUUUAAAAAAUUCGUGUCGGUCGCGAUUAGCUCCUGUUGCGUUUCAACAAACGAUUUUCCAUUGUUAUUAGUAUUUAUUUCUUUUUCUACCAUUAUUAUUAUUUAUUCGCGCGCGAUAAAACUCAUGAUGUUAUUACAUCGUGUCACACGAUUUCGAUUCGACCAUGUUUCUGUUCUUCGAUACGGUUGGACUUGAAACGAUCUUAUUGAACCAUUUUUAUUUUUUGUUUUACUUUGUUUUCGACACAUAUUAUAUGUUUGUACACAUUUUUUAUGAUAGUUAAUCUGACACAAAAACCAAUACUUAAAGAUAAG
This 1862-nucleotide long non-coding RNA is filed under the name Sipha flava (yellow sugarcane aphid). RNAcentral's name for it is "uncharacterized LOC112689888". The record is from RNAcentral. Lineage: Eukaryota; Metazoa; Arthropoda; Insecta; Hemiptera; Aphididae.